GACGAACGCUGGCGGCGUGCUUAACACAUGCAAGUCGAACGAUGAAGGAGAGCUUGCUCUCCGGAUUAGUGGCGAACGGGUGAGUAACACGUGACUAACCUGCCCCUUUCUCUGGGAUAACGCUCCGAAAGGAGUGCUAAUACCGGAUACGAACUCUGAACACAUGUUCGGAGUUGGAAAGUUUUUCGGAAAGGGAUGGAGUCGCGGCCUAUCAGCUUGUUGGUGAGGUAACGGCUCACCAAGGCGACGACGGGUAGCCGGCCUGAGAGGGCGACCCGCCACCCUCGGACUGAGACACGGCCCAGACUCCUACGGGAGGCAGCAGUGGGGAAUAUUGCACAAUGGGCGAGAGCCUGAUGCAGCGACGCCGCGUGAGGGAUGAAGGUCUUCGGAUUGUAAACCUCUUUCAGUAGGGACGAAGCGAAAGUGGCGGUACCUAAAGAAGAAGCACCGGCUAACUACGUGCCAGCCGCCGCGGUAA
RNAcentral lists this ribosomal RNA (481 nucleotides) under uncultured bacterium. RNAcentral's name for it is "partial 16S ribosomal RNA". It matches the Rfam family "Bacterial small subunit ribosomal RNA", at positions 28 to 523 of the family's 1533-position model. The record is from RNAcentral.